RNAcentral lists this signal recognition particle RNA (299 nucleotides) under Ipomoea nil (Japanese morning glory). RNAcentral's name for it is "Plant signal recognition particle RNA". It matches the Rfam family "Plant signal recognition particle RNA". Lineage: Eukaryota; Viridiplantae; Streptophyta; Magnoliopsida; Solanales; Convolvulaceae. The record is from Rfam by way of RNAcentral.
GCUGGGCUUGGUAGCACGAGCCUGUAACCUGAGUGGGAGCAUUAAGAUGGUGGAACAGUUGGCCAUUCCUUGAAGGUUGGGCCUUGGUUGCAAUUUACUGGCUUGCCCGUUCCAAGUGGUGAGUUGUGCCGUGGAUUCUCUGCGAAGGUAGAGGCUUCUCGAUCCUUAGAUUGGAGGGCACUGCGUGAGGCUGGCUUCACAGAGCAGCGAAAACCUCCUCCUCUCUACAGUGGAAGGAUAACGAGCCAGUACAUCCUCUACCCACUAGCCCUGGACCACACAGCCCAAUAGAGCCCGUA